UAGGGAAUCUUCCACAAUGGACGCAAGUCUGAUGGAGCAACGCCGCGUGAGUGAAGAAGGUUUUCGGAUCGUAAAGCUCUGUUGUUGGUGAAGAAGGAUAGAGGCAGUAACUGGCCUUUAUUUGACGGUAAUCAACCAGAAAGUCACGGCUAACUACGUGCCAGCAGCCGCGGUAAUACGUAGGUGGCAAGCGUUGUCCGGAUUUAUUGGGCGUAAAGCGAGCGCAGGCGGAAGAAUAAGUCUGAUGUGAAAGCCCUCGGCUUAACCGAGGAAUUGCAUCGGAAACUGUUUUCUUGAGUGCAGAAGAGGAGAGUAGAACUCCAUGUGUAGCGGUGGAAUGCGUAGAUAUAUGGAAGAAUACCAGUGGCGAAGGCGGCUCUCUGGUCUGCAACUGACGCUGAGGCUCGAAAGCAUGGGUAGCGAACAGGAUUAGAUACCCUUGGUAGUCCAUGCCGUAAAA
Molecule: ribosomal RNA, 460 nt
Filed under: uncultured bacterium
Lineage: Bacteria
Description: partial 16S ribosomal RNA
Rfam family: Bacterial small subunit ribosomal RNA
Source: RNAcentral